CAGGAAAUUUGUGUUUAACUCUCUAUCAAUUAAUUUAGCUGGCAAUUAGCAGCUACAGAUUGAAUUUUGCAGCCUGCAAGUGCAAAUAGAACGUGAGAAUAAAGUGUAGAAAUGAGCGGUCAAAGCGGAAAAUGCUGAACUGCGGUGGCGUCUUUCGUUUUAUGAGUUCGAAUGCAGCAUCCAUCCCGCACUGCUUUCUGUUUGUUUGUUAACACGGUCACUUUGUUAAAACGGUUGUGGCAACGAUACUUUGACCCACUGGAUUGAGCUCAGGUAGCAGAAACGAUCGCAGAAAGGACGCCGGGACAAUAUAAAUUUACCGUGCUGGGCACUUGCUGGAAACCGCGGUGUACAUUCGUCGAAUGUUCAGAUGGCGCUGAUAAAGAAAACCAACUAUACCCAGUUCGAGCGGCUUGUAGAGCUAAUGAAGAAAGAUGUCGAUCUUGCCAGGGGCAUUAGUGGAUUGGCAAGCAACAGACAGGAUAUCAAGAGAAAAUGGAACGAGAUAGCAUCGGAGUUAAACAACCUGGGCCCUCCUACGCGGGAUGCGUAUGAAUGGAAAAAAGUUUGGAUCGACACAAAAGCAAGAGUCAAAAGAAUCUUAGCAGAAAUAAACGAGGAGUCUAAUGGAGCACAUGCACGAUACAACAAGAUAAGGCAGCUCAAUCCCUGGCAUCAAGAAGUAAUAGCUCUACUGUCGAUCGACGGCAACACGCCGGGAAGCUCUGUUGAAAGUGAGGAGGAAAGCACGAAUGAUAUGAAGCCAAUUCCUGAAAUCCUCGAUCAACUAAUCAACGGAACCGUACCAUUGAUUGACCCAUUCGAAACAGUAACUGUGAUUCAGGACCCAAUCCAACCGAACCAACCCUCUCAUCAGCCGGAUCGUAAAAGUAAAACUUCCGAUAACCGAUUUGCUUUGCUCAAGAGACAGACGACGAUUCAAGAAGCAACGCUAAGUCGUUUGACAAAAAUUGAGGAAAACACCUGCGAAAUAGCUAAAUCCUUGAACAAACUGGUCAACGUGCAAGAGAAGCGCAAUGAACUCAUCGAAGUGGAGCUGAAACUGAAACGCAGGAAGCUCGAGCUCAAAGAAAAGGAGUUGGAUCGCAGCAAGUUGGAUGUAGCAAAAUAGGAUUAACAUAAGUUAUCAUCAUAUUUUUUUUAAACAUAUAUAAGGAAACUUAAGUUAUCAUCAUAUUUGGAAUCAAUAAAUACAUGCGAGUGUA
This is a long non-coding RNA of Anopheles aquasalis, 1226 nucleotides long. RefSeq lists it as uncharacterized. Lineage: Eukaryota; Metazoa; Arthropoda; Insecta; Diptera; Culicidae. The record is from RefSeq and is a predicted model, not a curated record.